UUUAAUUAAAGCACUAUUUACCUUUUUUGUUUUCUUGUUGAUCUUUCCAUUAUUAAUAGCUUCUAUGUGCAUUUGUUGACAGAAAAAAUAUUGAUUCUAAUGGCAGCCAAAAGCAAGAUUUUGAUUGUGGGAGGGAGUGGCUAUGUUGGUAAGUUUAUGGUGGAAGCAAGUGCCAAGGCUGGCCAUCCAACCUAUGUUCUUCUUAGACAUUCUACUCUCUCCAACCAUUCCAAGUCUCAUAUUGUCAACAAUUUCAAGACCUUGGGGGUCCAUUUUCUCUUUGGUGAUUUAUAUGAUCAUGAGAGUUUAGUUAAGGCAAUUAAAGAAGUGGAUGUGGUGAUAUCAACCGUAGGGCAUGAUCAAUUACCUGAUCAAUGUACACUCAUCUCUGCCAUCAAAGAAGUUGGCCAUAUUAAGAGAUUCUUCCCAUCAGAAUUUGGGAAUGAUGUGGAUCGUGUACGUGGUGUUGAGCCAGCAAAAUCAGCUUUUGCUGCAAAGGCUAAAGUUCGUAGAGCUUUGGAGGCUUCAAGGAUUCCUUAUACAAUUGUUUCCUCUAAUUUCUUUGAUGAUUGGUUUCUGUCAAGUUUGGCUCAACCUGAACCUUCUACUCCACCGUUUCCACCUAGAGAUCGAGUUUUUAUCAUUGGAGAUGGAAAUCCCAAAGCAAUAUUCAACAAGGAAGAAGACAUUGCAACUUACACAAUUAGAACUGUGGAUGAUCCAAGAACUUUAAACAAAAUCGUUUAUGUUAGACCUCCUAAAAAUAUUUACUCCUUCAAUGAUCUUGUCUCUCUUUGGGAGAAUAAAAUUGGCAAAACCCUCCAGAAAAUCUAUAUUCCAGAGGCUCAAGUGCUGAAGAACAUUUCAGCGACGGAGAUCCACGACGACAUCGAAUCUAAUUAACGUUUCGAAGACAACGACCCACACUCGUUUUCUCAUCGACGGCGACCCACACUCGUUUUAAAGAUUUCGAAGACAGUUAAUAAGGUUAUGAAGAAAAAUGUGUGGGGUUUUCAUAAUUCUAAGAGUUACAACAGCAAAGUAUUUUUCCACUGGCUGAAUCUGGAACGCAACUUCCACUCCCAAAUUUUCUUCGAACGCAAGAACUUUGACAUUCUUUAAUUUGAGAACUACUGGUGUUUGAGCAAGUUGAGUUACAAACUAAUGGCAGAGAGUGUCCUACCUUCACUUCCACAUCUACAUCAACAUCAAAUAAUUCAAAUGAAAGUUAGUUUUUCAUUGAUUGAGACAUGAAACUCUUUAUGUAAUUUCCAUUUCUUUCUUAUAAUUUGUACCCAAAAAAUUCACUUAGAAA
This is an RNA transcript of Cucumis sativus (cucumber), 1315 nucleotides long. It is a transcript of the gene named phenylcoumaran benzylic ether reductase Pyrc5, with no coding region annotated. Lineage: Eukaryota; Viridiplantae; Streptophyta; Magnoliopsida; Cucurbitales; Cucurbitaceae. The transcript has 6 exons. The record is from RefSeq and is a predicted model, not a curated record.